This 252-nucleotide ribosomal RNA is filed under the name uncultured bacterium. RNAcentral's name for it is "partial 16S ribosomal RNA". It matches the Rfam family "Bacterial small subunit ribosomal RNA", at positions 525 to 776 of the family's 1533-position model. The record is from RNAcentral.
ACGAACCGUGCGAACGUUGUUCGGAAUCACUGGGCUUAAAGGGCGCGUAGGCGGGCGGCAAAGUCCGGGGUGAAAUCUUUCGGCUUAACCGGAAAAUAGCCUUGGAUACUGGUCGUCUGGAGGGUGGUAGGGGCAUGUGGAACUUCCGGUGGAGCGGUGAAAUGCGUUGAUAUCGGAAGGAACGCCGGUGGCGAAAGCGACGUGCUGGACCACUUCUGACGCUGAGGCGCGAAAGCCAGGGGAGCAAACGGG